CGGCGAUACCCGAAUGGGGAAACCCAGUGUGAUUCGUCACACUAUCAUUAACUGAAUCCAUAGGUUAAUGAGGCGAACCGGGGGAACUGAAACAUCUAAGUACCCCGAGGAAAAGAAAUCAACCGAGAUUCCCCCAGUAGCGGCGAGCGAACGGGGAGGAGCCCAGAGCCUGAAUCAGCAUGUGUGUUAGUGGAAGCGUCUGGAAAGGCGCGCGAUACAGGGUGACAGCCCCGUACACAAAAGCGCAUGUGCUGUGAGCUCGAUGAGUAGGGCGGGACACGUGGUAUCCUGUCUGAAUAUGGGGGGACCAUCCUCCAAGGCUAAAUACUCCUGACUGACCGAUAGUGAACCAGUACCGUGAGGGAAAGGCGAAAAGAACCCCGGCGAGGGGAGUGAAAAAGAACCUGAAACCGUGUACGUACAAGCAGUGGGAGCACCCUUUGGGUGUGACUGCGUACCUUUUGUAUAAUGGGUCAGCGACUUAUAUUCUGUAGCAAGGUUAACCGAAUAGGGGAGCCGGAGGGAAACCGAGUCUUAAUUGGGCGUUAAGUUGCAGGGUAUAGACCCGAAACCCGGUGAUCUAGCCAUGGGCAGGUUGAAGGUUGGGUAACACUAACUGGAGGACCGAACCGACUAAUGUUGAAAAAUUAGCGGAUGACCUGUGGCUGGGGGUGAAAGGCCAAUCAAACCGGGAGAUAGCUGGUUCUCCCCGAAAGCUAUUUAGGUAGCGCCUCGUGAAUUCAUCUCCGGGGGUAGAGCACUGUUUCGGCUAGGGGGCCAUCCCGGCUUACCAACCCGAUGCAAACUGCGAAUACCGGAGAAUGUUAUCACGGGAGACACACGGCGGGUGCUAACGUCCGUCGUGAAGAGGGAAACAACCCAGACCGCCAGCUAAGGUCCCAAAGUCAUGGUUAAGUGGGAAACGAUGUGGGAAGGCCCAGACAGCCAGGAUGUUGGCUUAGAAGCAGCCAUCAUUUAAAGAAAGCGUAAUAGCUCACUGGUCGAGUCGGCCUGCGCGGAAGAUGUAACGGGGCUAAACCAUGCACCGAAGCUGCGGCAGCGACACUGUGUGUUGUUGGGUAGGGGAGCGUUCUGUAAGCCUGUGAAGGUGUGUCGUGAGGCAUGCUGGAGGUAUCAGAAGUGCGAAUGCUGACAUAAGUAACGAUAAAGCGGGUGAAAAGCCCGCUCGCCGGAAGACCAAGGGUUCCUGUCCAACGUUAAUCGGGGCAGGGUGAGUCGACCCCUAAGGCGAGGCCGAA
Molecule: ribosomal RNA, 1259 nt
Filed under: Salmonella enterica subsp. enterica
Lineage: Bacteria; Pseudomonadati; Pseudomonadota; Gammaproteobacteria; Enterobacterales; Enterobacteriaceae
Description: bacterial LSU rRNA
Rfam family: Bacterial large subunit ribosomal RNA
Source: RNAcentral